GUGCCAGCAGCGCGCGGUAAUACCGGCAGCCCAAGUGAUGGCCGCUGUUAUUGGGCCUAAAGCGUCCGUAGCUGGCUGCGCAAGUCCGUCGGGAAAUCCACUCGCCCAACGAGUGGGCGUCCGACGGAAACUGCACAGCUUGGGACCGGAAGGCUCGAAGGGUACGUCCGGGGUAGGAGUGAAAUCCCGUAAUCCUGGGCGGACCGCCGAUGGCGAAAGCACGUCGCGAGAACGGAUCCGACAGUGAGGGACGAAAGCCAGGGUCUCGAACCGGAUUAGAUACCCGAGUAGUCC
This 294-nucleotide ribosomal RNA is filed under the name uncultured bacterium. RNAcentral's name for it is "partial 16S ribosomal RNA". It matches the Rfam family "Archaeal small subunit ribosomal RNA", at positions 455 to 747 of the family's 1478-position model. The record is from RNAcentral.